AGAGUUUGAUCCUGGCUCAGGACGAACGCUGGCGGCAUGCCUAAUACAUGCAAGUCGAACGGCACCGUAAGGUGCAGUGGCGGACGGGUGAGUAACGCGUGGNNNNNNNNNNNNNNNNNNNNNNNNNNNNNNNNNNNNNNNNNNNNNNNNNNNNNNNNNNNNNNNNUAACGCGUGGGCAACCUGCCCCAAAGACCGGGAUAACACCUCGAAAGGGGUGCUAAUACCGGGUGUGAUCUAGAUACCGCAUGGUAUUUAGAAGAAAGGCGUAAGCCGCUUUGGGAUGGGCCCGCGUCUGAUUAGCUAGUUGGUGGGGUAACGGCCUACCAAGGCGACGAUCAGUAGCCGACCUGAGAGGGUGAACGGCCACACUGGGACUGAGACACGGCCCAGACUCCUACGGGAGGCAGCAGUCGGGAAUAUUGGUCAAUGGGGGAAACCCUGAACCAGCAAUGCCGCGUGAGUGACGAAGGUCUUCGGAUCGUAAAGCUCUGUCUUCAGGGAAGAACAAGUGACGGUACCCAAGGAGGAAGCCCCGGCUAACUACGUGCCAGCAGCCGCGGUAAUACGUAGGGGGCGAGCGUUGUCCGGAAUUACUGGGCGUAAAGGGCGAGUAGGCGGUUUUACAAGUCAGAUGUGAAAUACCAGGGCUUAACCCUGGAGCUGCAUUUGAAACUGUAUAACUUGAGUACAGGAGAGGAAAGUGGAAUCCCCAGUGUAGCGGUGAAAUGCGUAGAUAUUGGGGGGAACACCAGUGGCGAAGGCGACUUUCUGGACUGUAACUGACGCUGAGGCGCGAAAGCGUGGGGAGCAAACAGGAUUAGAUACCCUGGUAGUCCACGCCGUAAACGAUGAGUGCUAGGUGUAGAGGGUAUCGACCCCUUCUGUGCCGCAGUUAACACAAUAAGCACUCCGCCUGGGGAGUACGGUCGCAAGACUGAAACUCAAAGGAAUUGACGGGGGCCCGCACAAGCAGCGGAGCAUGUGGUUUAAUUCGACGCAACGCGAAGAACCUUACCAGGACUUGACAUCCCUCGCUAUUUACUGAAAGGUAGAGUUCCCUUCGGGGACGAGGAGACAGGUGGUGCACGGUUGUCGUCAGCUCGUGUCGUGAGAUGUUGGGUUAAGUCCCGCAACGAGCGCAACCCUUGUCCUUAGUUGCCAGCAUGAAGUCGGGCACUCUAGGGAGACUGCCGGUGAUAAACCGGAGGAAGGUGGGGAUGACGUCAAAUCAUCAUGCCCCUUAUGUCCUGGGCUACACACGUGCUACAAUGGGCUGAACAGAGGGAAGCGAGACCGCGAGGUGGAGCCAAUCCCAUAAAACAGCUCUCAGUUCAGAUCGUAGGCUGCAACUCGCCUACGUGAAGAUGGAGUUGCUAGUAAUCGCGGAUCAGCAUGCCGCGGUGAAUGCGUUCCCGGGCCUUGUACACACCGCCCGUCACACCGCGGGAGUUGG
Molecule: ribosomal RNA, 1454 nt
Filed under: uncultured bacterium
Lineage: Bacteria
Description: 16S ribosomal RNA
Rfam family: Bacterial small subunit ribosomal RNA
Source: RNAcentral